KSCCUUAGAGUUUGAUCCUGGYUCMKAACGAACGCUGGCGGCGUGCUUAACACAUGCAAGUCGAACGUGAUCCGGAGCUUGCUCCGGUGAAAGUGGCGCACGGGUGAGUAACGCGUGGAUAAUCUGCCCUGGUAUCUGGGACAACMUCUCGAAAGGGGUGCUAAUACCGGAUAAGCCUACGGACUCUUCGGAGUCUGCAGGAAAAGGUGGCCUCUAUUUAUAAGCUAMCGUAUCAGGAUGAGUCCGCGUACCRUUAGCUAGUUGGUGGGGUAAUGGCCCACCAAGGCUACKAUGGUUAGCUGGUCUGAGAGGAUGAUCAGCCMCACUGGAACUGAGACACGGUCCARACUCCUACGGGAGGCAGCAGUGGGGAAUUUUGCGCAAUGGGCGAAAGCCUGACGCAGCAACGCCGCGUGAGUGAUGAAGGCUUUCGGGUCGUAAAGCUCUGUCGAGGGGAAAGAAGUGUAUUGCGGUUAAUACCCGCUUUACUUGACGGUACCCCUAAAGGAAGCACCGGCUAACUCCGUGCCAGCAGYCGCGGUAAUAC
RNAcentral lists this ribosomal RNA (547 nucleotides) under uncultured Geobacteraceae bacterium. Its description in RNAcentral is "bacterial SSU rRNA". It matches the Rfam family "Bacterial small subunit ribosomal RNA", at positions 1 to 526 of the family's 1533-position model. Lineage: Bacteria; Pseudomonadati; Thermodesulfobacteriota; Desulfuromonadia; Geobacterales; Geobacteraceae. The record is from RNAcentral.